RNAcentral lists this ribosomal RNA (747 nucleotides) under Triticum aestivum (bread wheat). RNAcentral's name for it is "partial small subunit ribosomal RNA". Lineage: Eukaryota; Viridiplantae; Streptophyta; Magnoliopsida; Poales; Poaceae. The record is from RNAcentral.
AUGAUACAUGGUCCAUGUGGUCAAGCACACCCCAAAUCACCAUGCAUGGUCGAUAAAAGUUGUGCCAAACAUUUCCCCAAGAAUUUUUGCACUGAGACUACCAUAGAUGAAGAUAACGAUCCAGUAUAUAGAAGGCGAGAUGAUGGCAACACUGUGGACAAAAAUGGAGUGAAGCUAGACAAUAGAUUUGUUGUGCCAUACAAUAGAAACCUACUGGUCAAGUAUCAAGCCCACAUAAAUGUUGAAUGGUGCAACAGAUCAAGGUCUAUAAAGUAUUUAUUCAAAUACAUCCACAAAGGAGAAGAUCGAACAACCGUCUUGAUAGAAGCGGAAGACCAACAAAGUGAAACUAGAGCUAGCAAAUUAACAAACAGGGACGACGAAAUCAAGAGGUACCUAGAUGCCUGGUACAUAUCUGGAUGUGAAGCCGCAUGGCGCAUAUUUCAGUUUCCUCUUCAGUACAGAGAGCCUGCGGUUGAGAGGUUACAAUUUCACCUAGAAAAUGAACAUGUCGUGGUGUUCCCGGACUCAAUGGAUUUAGAUCAAAUUGUAUCCCGGCCUAACAUAGAAAAGACAAUGUUCACAGAAUGGAUGACAACCAACCAGUUGCAUGAAGAAGCUCGCAGUUUGACGUAUGCACAGUUUCCAACCAAAUGGACUUGGCAUGCACAAGAGAAAGAAUGGAGGAAAAGGCAUGGUGAAAAAAACCAUAGGCAGGAUUUACUAUGCACAACCAAUGAGCGGUGA